Molecule: ribosomal RNA, 301 nt
Filed under: uncultured bacterium
Lineage: Bacteria
Description: partial 16S ribosomal RNA
Rfam family: Bacterial small subunit ribosomal RNA
Source: RNAcentral
CAGUAGCCCGGGAAUACGUAGGGUGCGAGCGUUAAUCGGAAUUACUGGGCGUAAAGCGUGCGCAGGCGGUUCGUUAAGACAGAUGUGAAAUCCCCGGGCUUAACCUGGGAACUGCAUUUGUGACUGGCGAGCUAGAGUAUGGCAGAGGGGGGUAGAAUUCCACGUGUAGCAGUGAAAUGCGUAGAGAUGUGGAGGAAUACCGAUGGCGAAGGCAGCCCCCUGGGCCAAUACUGACGCUCAUGCACGAAAGCGUGGGGAGCAAACAGGAUUAGAUACCCCGGUAGUCCCUGUCUCUUAUACA